This 468-nucleotide ribosomal RNA is filed under the name uncultured bacterium. RNAcentral describes it as "partial 16S ribosomal RNA". It matches the Rfam family "Bacterial small subunit ribosomal RNA", at positions 28 to 507 of the family's 1533-position model. The record is from RNAcentral.
GACGAACGCUGGCGGCGUGCUUAACACAUGCAAGUCGAACGGAAAGGCCCUGCUUUUGUGGGGUGCUCGAGUGGCGAACGGGUGAGUAACACGUGAGUAACCUGCCCUUGACUUUGGGAUAACUUCAGGAAACUGGGGCUAAUACCGGAUAGGAGCUCCUGCUGCAUGGUGGGGGUUGGAAAGUUUCGGCGGUUGGGGAUGGACUCGCGGCUUAUCAGCUUGUUGGUGGGGUAGUGGCUUACCAAGGCUUUGACGGGUAGCCGGCCUGAGAGGGUGAGCGGCCACAUUGGGACUGAGAUGCGGCCCAGCCUCCUACGGGAGGCAGCAGUGGGGAAUAGUGCACAAUGGGCGGAAGCCUGAUGCAGCAACGCCGCGUGCGGGAUGACGGCCUUCGGGUUGUAAACCGCUUUCGCCUGUGACGAAGCGUGAGUGACGGUAAUGGGUAAAGAAGCACCGGCUAACUACGUG